UAGCGUAUAUUAAAGUUGUUGCAGUUAAAAAGCUCGUAGUUGAACCUUGGGCCUGGCUGGCCGGUCCGCCUCACCGCGUGCACUGGUUCGGCCGGGCCUUCCCUCUGGGGAACCUCAUGGUCUUCACUGAUCGUGUGGGGACCAGGACUUUUACUGUGAAAAAAUUAGAGUGUUCAAAGCAGGCUAUGCUCGAAUACAUUAGCAUGGAAUAAUAAAAUAGGACGUGUGGUUCUAUUUUGUUGGUUUCUAGGACCGCCGUAAUGAUUAAUAGGGACAGUCGGGGGCAUCAGUAUUCAAUUGUCAGAGGUGAAAUUCUUGGAUUUAUUGAAGACUAACUACUGCGAAAGCAUUUGCCAAGGAUGUUUUCAUUAAUCAGGAACGAAAGUUAGGGGAUCGAAGACGAUCAGAUACCGUCGUAGUCUUAACCAUAAACUAUGCCGACUAGGGAUCGGACGGUGUUCUUAUUGACCCGUUCGGC
Molecule: ribosomal RNA, 478 nt
Filed under: Didymellaceae sp. ES155
Lineage: Eukaryota; Fungi; Ascomycota; Dothideomycetes; Pleosporales; Didymellaceae
Description: SSU rRNA
Rfam family: Eukaryotic small subunit ribosomal RNA
Source: RNAcentral